GCCCGCAAGGGGAUCUCUGAGGAAACUGCGGCGAUGAGCGAGGAGUGGGAUGACGUCAAGUCCUCAUGGCCCUUAUAGGUGGGCUACACACGUCAUACAAUGGCUGGUACAAAGGGUUGCCAACCCGCGAGGGGGAGCUAAUACCCAUAAAGCCAGUCGUAGUCCGGAUCGUAGUCUGCAACUCGACUACGUGAAGUCGGAAUCGCUAGUAAUCGUGGAUCAGAAUGUCACGGUGAAUACGUUCCCGGGUCUU
Molecule: ribosomal RNA, 253 nt
Filed under: uncultured Rhodoferax sp.
Lineage: Bacteria; Pseudomonadati; Pseudomonadota; Betaproteobacteria; Burkholderiales; Comamonadaceae
Description: partial 16S ribosomal RNA
Rfam family: Bacterial small subunit ribosomal RNA
Source: RNAcentral